AGGAGAGAGCCUGAUUUUUAGCCAGUUCAUUUACUUGUGAACGACAAUGAGGACGCCCAGCUCUCCUUAAUCCAUCCUCACUUCCCUAUUUUUAUUUUCUGUUUCCUCGGUUGUUCCUUUAGUUCUUCUAGUUUGUGGUUUUGGUGUUUACUCGGUGUUAGUGUUUUGGAUUCGAGAGAUAGAUCUUGAUUUCUAGUUUGACUUGGGCAUUAUAUGGUAACCCCCCCCCCUUCCUCCUAUUUUCUCUUUGGAUUGUUGAUACGUUCUUGAUUUCUAAUCUAUUUUGAUGUUAUACAGUGAUUUCACUAUUAUAUUGUGCCCUAACUACGAUUUUUGGGUUUUAAUUUUGUGAUAGCCUAGAUCUGGAUAUUGCCUUACGUGAUUUUUUAAAAUUCUUGGAUUUUGAUAGCUUUUUUUGCCCCAGUGAUUGAUGAUGGAGAACUCUUUGAUUGGAUUUCUGCUAGUUUUUAAGUUUGAAUUGGGCUAUCCAUUUCCCAUGUUGUUUCUUGGUAGAGGAUUUUUUUUAAAAUUUGAUAGUGCUGCAACGUUUUCAUUUUUUCGUUGUGUUGUUCUUUUGUUUUUCCUUGCUGUUACUUACUCUGCAAUCUUGCACGAGAAUCUUGCCCGAGAGUUCUUUUUGAUUUCCUGCUAAUGAUUGAGGUCAAGAUUUGUGAUUCACGAUCAGUUGGCCCUUUCCCUAUGAAUGCAGCUAUUUGAUAUGAUAUCAGUUGUUUGCCUCAUUUUCUUUUGGAUAUAUUUGUGCUGCCAUUUACACUAGUUUAAUUUUGGAUGAUAUAUUGGUGAUUAGAGCAAGAUUCUGUAAUUUGAUCCUUGCAUUCGAUCCUAUUUAAUGCAGAUGCAAAUAUGACUUCUAUCUUUGAUUCACUUCACCUAUGGAUCAUUCUCUGUUAUCUCUGAGAUGAUGAUCACUAUUUUCGACAUUGUGGGAGAUGUUGUGCUAAGUUGGGAUUUUCAAAGGAUGAUUUCCCCCUAGGCUCCAACCUAUCCCUUUCCUAGUUCUAGUUAUAAUAUAGAUAUAAUCUUCUAUCAUCUUCGCUGGCUCUAUUUUUAUAAUGCAAACUUGUUGGACAGAACAAUAUUUUUGCACACAUCACAGAUCCACCUUUUAUGAAUACCUUUUAUAAACACUCUAUCUCCUGUUUAAAUCCCACCUUAAAACAUACCACCAAUAACAGCAAUCUACUGAAAUCAAGAACUGACCGACAGAGGUUCAUGCAUUGUGAAUAUACACGUACAACAAUUAAGAAAAAAUCAAAAUGUGUGCAAAAAUGUUGUUCAAUCCAACAAGUUUGAAUUACAAAAAUAGAGCCAGCGAAGAUGGUAGAAGAUUAUCUCUGUAUUAUAACUAGAACUAGGGAAGGGAGAGGUAAGAGCCUAGGGGGAAAUCAUCCUUCGAAAAUCCCAACUUAGCACAACAUCUCCCACAAUGUCCAUAGGUGAAUGUAUUGGCAUAAGAACAUGUAGAAGAUAAAACAAAAAAUAUGAAGGCACAAAGAAAAUAGCGAUCAUCAUCUCAGAGAUAAAGAGAGAAUGAUCCACAGGUGCAGUGAAUCAAAGACAGAAGUCAAGUCUGCAUCUGCAUUAAACAGGAUCGAAUGCAAGGAUCAAAUUACAGAUCN
RNAcentral lists this long non-coding RNA (1640 nucleotides) under Phoenix dactylifera (date palm). RNAcentral describes it as "long non-coding RNA (PDAC_LNC002762)". Lineage: Eukaryota; Viridiplantae; Streptophyta; Magnoliopsida; Arecales; Arecaceae. The record is from RNAcentral.